RNAcentral lists this ribosomal RNA (237 nucleotides) under uncultured bacterium. RNAcentral's name for it is "partial 16S rRNA". It matches the Rfam family "Bacterial small subunit ribosomal RNA", at positions 505 to 741 of the family's 1533-position model. The record is from RNAcentral.
GUGCCAGCCGCCGCGGUAAUACGGAGGGUGCGAGCGUUGUUCGGAAUUAUUGGGCGUAAAGCGCGUGUAGGCGGUUUGGUAAGUCUGAUGUGAAAGCCCCGGGCUCAACCUGGGAAGUGCAUUGGAAACUGUCAGACUUGAAUACGGGAGAGGGUAGUGGAAUUCCUAGUGUAGGAGUGAAAUCCGUAGAUAUUAGGAGGAACACCGGUGGCGAAGGCGGCUACCUGGACCGUUAUU